AUUGAACGCUGGCGGCAGGCUUAACACAUGCAAGUCGAGCGGUAACAGAGAGAAGCUUGCUUCUCUGCUGACGAGCGGCGGACGGGUGAGUAAUGCCUAGGAAUCUGCCUAGUAGUGGGGGAUAACUUGCCGAAAGGUAAGCUAAUACCGCAUACGUCCUACGGGAGAAAGGAGGGGACCUUCGGGCCUUUCGCUAUUAGAUGAGCCUAGGUCGGAUUAGUUAGUUGGUGAGGUAAUGGCUCACCAAAACCGCGAUCCGUAACUGGUCUGGGAGGGUGGACAGUCACACUGGAACUGAGACACGGUCGAGACUCCUACGGGAGGCAGCAGUGGGGAAUAUUGGACAAUGGGGGGAACCAUGAUCCAGCCAUGCCGCGUGUGUGAAGAAGGUCUUAGGAUUGUAAAGCACUUUAAGUUGGGAGGAAGAGCAGUUAACUAAUAUUUGACUGUUUUGACGUUACCGACAGAAUAAGCACCGGCUAACUUCGUGCCAGCAGCCGCCGUAA
RNAcentral lists this ribosomal RNA (506 nucleotides) under uncultured bacterium. RNAcentral describes it as "partial 16S ribosomal RNA". It matches the Rfam family "Bacterial small subunit ribosomal RNA", at positions 30 to 523 of the family's 1533-position model. The record is from RNAcentral.